Molecule: ribosomal RNA, 255 nt
Filed under: uncultured bacterium
Lineage: Bacteria
Description: partial 16S ribosomal RNA
Rfam family: Bacterial small subunit ribosomal RNA
Source: RNAcentral
UACGUAGGGUGCGAGCGUUAAUCGGAAUUACUGGGCGUAAAGCGUGCGCAGGCGGUGAUGUAAGACAGAUGUGAAAUCCCCGGGCUCAACCUGGGAACUGCAUUUGUGACUGCAUUGCUGGAGUGCGGCAGAGGGGGAUGGAAUUCCGCGUGUAGCAGUGAAAUGCGUAGAUAUGCGGAGGAACACCGAUGGCGAAGGGCAAUCCCCCUGGGCCUGCACUGACGCUCAUGCACGAAAGCGUGGGGAGCAAACAGG